GACGAACGCUGGCGGCGUGCUUAACACAUGCAAGUCGAACGGAAAGGCCCUGCUUUUGUGGGGUGCUCGAGUGGCGAACGGGUGAGUAACACGUGAGUAACCUGCCCUUGACUUUGGGAUAACUUCAGGAAACUGGGGCUAAUAACGGAUAGGAGCUCCUGCUGCAUGGUGGGGGUUGGAAAGUUUCGGCGGUUGGGGCUGGUCUCGCGGCUUAUCAGCUUGUUGGUGGGGUAGUGGCUUACCAAGGCUUUGACGGGUAGCCGGCCUGAGAGGGUGACCGGCCACAUUGGGACUGAGAUACGGCGCAGACUCCUACGGGAGGCAGCAGUGGGGAAUAUUGCACAAUGGGCGGAAGCCUGAUGCAGCAACGCCGCGUGCGGGAUGACGGCCUUCGGGUUGUAAACCGCUUUCGCCUGUGACGAAGCGUGAGUGACGGUAAUGGGUAAAGAAGCACCGGCUAACUACGUG
Molecule: ribosomal RNA, 468 nt
Filed under: uncultured bacterium
Lineage: Bacteria
Description: partial 16S ribosomal RNA
Rfam family: Bacterial small subunit ribosomal RNA
Source: RNAcentral